CAAAAAUGAGGACACCUUAUAUGUUAUAUUUUUCUUAUAUGUUAGAAUUUUCUUAUUGAAUUUUUUUAAAACGACUUUAAAUUACAAAAAUGUAAGUUUAAGUAAUAUUUACGACAGAUUCUAAAACGCUGCAAAGACGCUCAUCUAAGCGCUAUCCGGUAGGUUACAUGGCGUUUUGACGUAUUCGGGCAACAAAUCAGGAAUAUCAAUGUAAUCCAUUUUCCAUGUUUUAGGUUUUGAUAGUUUGGAUUCGAGUGUUUGGUUAUGCUUCUUUUAAAACUGUGUAAAAAACAAAGAUAAUCGACAAGAAUCAAUGAAAAAAAAAAAGCUGCGACAGCAGAUAAUUUAGGUUAGAAAAAUCGCAGGAUUUAGGUAGGGGACGGAGCUAAUUUGGUAAAUUACUAAUUCAUUAAACAAAAGCAAAAAACAAAAAAAAGUAGGAGAUCGAACCCUCGUGAAGGGGAGGCAAAUAUAACAUGUGAAACCACUAAACCAAGAAAUAUAUGUUUGAUGGUGCACUUCUUUAUAUAUAAAAGAAGCUUUGCUUCUCUCCUAGCGUGUCCAUGUAGACGGACACGUCACUAAUUCGCCUCAUGUCGUCACGCCACGUGUCCGUGCAAAUGAAACUCAUCGUUUCAUUUAAGUUUGUUAUCGCGUGGGCUUUUGACCGAAACUAUGCUAUUGGGCUUAAUUUAGAGAGUGUUGUCGGCCCAGCCAGGCAUACUUCUCGCUAACCUAAUCCGGAAAACAUGUUUGUUCUUCGUUUCUGUUUGUUCGGCGGCUACGGUGAUGAUCGAGUUUCCUUGCUGUCUCGAAACGGAUUGCGUUAUGAGUUCUAUGUGUUUAAUCCCAUUAAAGAUGGUGACGAUCGAGCUUCCUCAUGGUAUUGCGUCGGCAAUGCGGUGAUCUUUAAGGUAUAAAUAUGUCAGCAUUUCUCUUCUGGAAAUUGCGUUCUCUUCAUUCAUCUUCUAUUCAUAAGGCGUGGGAAGGUUUCACGACGGCGGCAGACGCUGAUCUGAUCGCUGAGCAGCAGAUGUGGGCUGCGGUUGAUCCUUAGGCCAAGAACGAAUGUUGCUUUGUCUUCUGUUAUUGUUGUUUCAGAAUGAAUGUUGUAUGCCGCCAGAGACAUGUAACAUGGAUGAUGGUUGCCUAAAUGCGACGUUUGGAGGGAUAACAUGAAAUUAUAAACCAUUUGAUUCUUGAUUUUCUCGAUACAUGCUAGAUUGAAGCCUGUUUGUCUGGAUAUUUUUGUUCUAACUUUCCCAAGGAGUUUCUGAUUCAGAAAAUGGAGACCGUAAAGAGUACAAGGAGCAUGCUGAUAAUUUCAUGGAGAUUAUCAACCUUCUCCAAGACGAGAUUUAAACACCUUCCUCUAGCUUCUUUAUAAGGCUUAGAAGAUUGGGUACAUAUAAGUCCGAGAAGCUAAGAACUAUGGCCCUACUUAACAUGUGAUCUACUUUUAUGCAACACAACAAGUUGAACAGCAAAGUAGUCUCUGGAAUAACUUUUGUAUUAUGUGUUUUUUUUUUAUCAACGUAUUGUGCUUUUAUCUUUCAAUAUUUUCGGUUCAAGAUGAAGUUUCAGUGAACUGCUAAUAAAUUAAUACUCUCUGUAGAAUUCAA
Molecule: long non-coding RNA, 1622 nt
Organism: Brassica napus (rape)
Lineage: Eukaryota; Viridiplantae; Streptophyta; Magnoliopsida; Brassicales; Brassicaceae
Exons: 2
Source: RefSeq, a predicted model, not a curated record